ACAACAAUCGGAGGAAAAACUCCAGCCACAUAAGAAGUUAAAUGUGCCGCAACCACCAGUGGCGAAAUUGUGGACAUCACAGGAGCAACCACAGCCAUCACAGCAGCAGCCAUCAGUGCAGCCACCAUCACAGCCACCACCACAGCCAUCAACAUUGCCACAGGCACAGGUGUGGCCAGGGCCACAGCCACCACAACCACAGCCACCACCUCAGCCAACACAACCAAGUGCUCAAGCCCGUUGUACUCAGCACACCUCCAAAUGCAAUCUCCAGGAUUCCCAAAGGCCAGGUCACCAGCCUACUUCAGCGGGGAUCUACUAAGCUGGAGGGCAAUCUCUGUAUCAACAACAGAUUCCAGGGUCUCAUGAACCCAUGCCAAUCUAGCCCCAUCAGAAACACUGGGUAUUCACAACUCAAGUCUACCAAUUACAUACAGCAGUGGUGAUCCAGAGAUUGAACCCAGGACCCCAUGGCCAUCCCCAAAAUGCAGAUGAGCAACCACAUCUUCUCAGCAUCCAGCAAUAUCUCCACUCCAAAAGCCACCCACUCUAGAAGAGGAGGCUGCCAGGAAUAAAAUCCAGGUACAGAUUUUGCUGAGAGAGAAGAAAAGAGAACGUGGGACCACGUGUCACAUGGAGCAGCCUGUCAGCUCAGAAGAUGCCUGCAGGUCCCAGUUUCCUUACCCCACAGAACUCUUUCCUUCCAUCAGGUGCCCCCAAAAUGUCACUCCCACCCCUUCCCACCCUUCAGGUGAGUGUAGCAGCAUGGCUGCACUAUCACUCUGACCUCCACUCACUUGGCCCAGGCACAUGCUGGACCCCCAUUCAGGAGACAGACAAAACAUUCUUCUUCCUCAGCAAUGCAGGCUGAAGAGCCCAAGGUCACAUAUUGUAAAGAUUAACCAAAUUCCA
RNAcentral lists this long non-coding RNA (912 nucleotides) under Homo sapiens (human). Its description in RNAcentral is "non-protein coding lnc-LINC00854-1:29". The record is from RNAcentral. Lineage: Eukaryota; Metazoa; Chordata; Mammalia; Primates; Hominidae.